This 178-nucleotide ribosomal RNA is filed under the name Rossellomorea vietnamensis. Its description in RNAcentral is "Bacillus vietnamensis partial 23S ribosomal RNA". It matches the Rfam family "Bacterial large subunit ribosomal RNA", at positions 1 to 174 of the family's 2925-position model. Lineage: Bacteria; Bacillati; Bacillota; Bacilli; Caryophanales; Bacillaceae. The record is from RNAcentral.
AUUUGGUUAAGUUAGAAAGGGCGCACGGUGGAUGCCUUGGCACUAGGAGCCGAUGAAGGACGGGACUAACACCGAUAUGCUUCGGGGAGCUGUAAGUAAGCUUUGAUCCGGAGAUUUCCGAAUGGGGAAACCCGCUGCACGUAAUGGUGCAGUAUCCAUACUUGAAUACAUAGAGUAU